This is a long non-coding RNA of Strigops habroptila (Kakapo), 2996 nucleotides long. NCBI's taxonomy places the organism in Eukaryota, Metazoa, Chordata, Aves, Psittaciformes, Psittacidae. The record is from Ensembl.
ACCGUCCCUGAGGCGCGCGGCACACCGGGCAGCGGGGCGGCCAUCGGCGGCGGCGACGUCCUGGCUAGGCGGCCGCCCGCGCAGGAGGCACGUCGGCGAGCGGCCCCGGCGCUGCCGGGCGUUUCGGGCGGAGGCUGCUCUCCGCUCCCGCUGCGGAGGGGGGGAGGUGGCGGGGAGCGAGGGGAAGCGCCGCCCGGGCGGCGAGCGGCACCGAACGCCUUCCCCGGCACACGUGCGCGGGCGGCGGCGGGGGUGGGCGGCCGCCGGCUCCACGCUGUGGCGGUCGGGUGCAGAGCCGUGCCCUUUCGGCUGCCGCCGCCGCGCCGGGGCGGGAGGUGCCCUGCGCUCCGCUCCCUGGCGGCACAGCGGGGUGGGCCCCGGCAGGUGCGCGGCUCCCCCUCCCUCAUCCCGGGACUCGAGGGCGCGGUAUCACCCAGCCCGUCCGGGGUGUCGAGCCGCGCCUGACAGGGAGUCGGGGCGGCCGAGGUCGGGGGGUGCUGCCCCUUGCCUCCUCAGGAGUUGGCUCGGGCCUGGCCGGUAACCUUCUCCCCGGCUAGGCCGGCCCCUGGCGCACGGGUGCGCACCGGGGCUCACACGCGCACCACCGGAGGGGCCUGGCGCUUCUCUAAGCGCCUGACAAAUCAUUAACGAAGCUGCCCCAUCCCUCUGUGAGGUCGGGGAUUUAUGGUUGUGCCUUAGAGAAAUAAGGAAUGAACAAGGCCGGAGGACAGACCCCUACCUUCGUGCCAAACAAGCAGCUCUCGGGAGGAGGCUGGGUUGCCAGCCGGGCCCAGGGAUCGCGUUCAGCUGCAGCUCUGAUGAGAGGGGAAAGUGGUUUAUCCUUGUGCCUUCGGCUCCACCCCAGCAGCCUGCGCCGCUGAAGAAGCCAGCUCCUGUCCUGCUUUAUGUACACAGAAUCCUAUGUGGCAAUUCCACAGCCACCCUUAUCAGCGUUCUUGCUAUUGAAAAAUAAAAUUACCCCCUCACUGUAUGAAGAACAGUUUGACAGCAUCAGAGUGGGUAAAAUUGUGUAAAUCAGUCAAUUUGAUACAAAGUCAAAUAGUUGGAAGUCCAGCCCCGGUAAAAACAGCUGUAGGUAGAAGCCUUCUGACUGUACUUGGCGUGCUCAGGGGCAGUAGCUGAGAUGUCCGACUGGUGAAAAUACGUGGGACGUGUGCUUUGCUGUUUUUCUGAAGCCACCUAAGAAAUUGUCACACACAAGCCAAUUUUUCAAUUUGGAAGAAAUAUUUUUCUGAUUCAGAAACAAUACUCAGAGUUUUCAUUUUGGCUGAGUCACAGAUGAUUUUGCAGGACGUUUAUUUUCAAUUAAACGAAGGAUUCCUUCUCAGAACAGCUCAUUCUCUAUUACACUGAUAGCAGCAGUGCAAGCUCAAGUUGAUCAACAAUUCUUACAUACAGAGACUGGCAAACAUACCUGGGAUAUUACAGUGUCAGAUGCUUGACUGGAUUUGCUCACUGGUUGUGAACAGCUAUGUUUUUACACAACUGCACAGAUCAGACCACUGUUUUUUUCCCAAUUGAUUCACUGCCAUAAAUGUGGCAUGUUAAACCUCACUGUCUUCAAAAGAAUAGAAGGAGGGAGAGCUGGCCUGGGUGCUCUGGGUUGAAAACAGGUCGGGAAGAGAUAAAAACCUUCAAGUGGCAAUUGUGUGCUGAUGUUAAUCAGCAUUAUAAAAGUUGAGCCAUGAAAAGAAAAUAUGCUUUGACUUUUCACCCAGUCUGUGCAACUAACUGUUGCAUAGCUGCAACCUGACAUACAUGGUACGUUUUUCUGUCUCUGGCUUAGUCAUUUAAUUGUUUUAAAAUGGCAGGCAAAUAAAAAACGCAAUUAGAAGGAAUAUUAGCAAAUAAAUACUUCUAUGUUUCAAAAUAACUUUGCUAGGAUUCUAAUGAGUCAUGACAGGAAAAAUGCCACUUGUAGGAAAGAGCAAUAAGAAAUGUAAUGCUAUUAUAAUUUUACUUGAAUGUAGUAAUUUAAGAAACAGAUUGUCUUAAAAAUAUUUCUUUUCUUAUCAUCUGUCCUGAUGCUUGUUGCUUUCAGUGCUUUCUGUGGCAAUAGCAUUUUAUGAGAAAAAUACAGUCAUUGGGAAACUGAGGCAGGGAAAGACCUAUACUGGCUGUUCCAGUGUAGCAUUGGAAAUGUUGCAUAGGUGAGAAUGCGACAUUCAGGUUUCUCCUGACUUACUGUCUCUCUUUGCAAACAACUGCAAGGAUAAAAAAGAUUGUUGGAGCUUGGCUAAAAAUACCUGAGAGCAUUUGACCUAGACUCAAUUCAGGUGUAACCUUUUUUAACUCUUCCUUUGAACAAGUACAAGCCCUGUAAUCUGUGGACAAUUAAUAGUGUUGAUACUAAAACAGCUUUCUUCUAAGUCCUGACACCAGAGUAUUUGUUGAGCUGUGUCAUUUGGCUUCCUUUUUGUCUUAAGUACAUCUAAGCUGCCUAGUCUGGUUUUGAAACUUGCUAUGCUUCUGCAGCACAGUGGUCCUUGUUCUAAGGAUUAACAUUUCCCUAAAACUGAUUUUCUGAGCAUUCUUCAAUCCUCAACUGAGGAGUUUUGUUUUCUAUUUAACUUAAUAAUGUUUGUUAGCCCUAAUCAUGUCUAGGUGUUUAUUAGGUAAAAUUAAAAAUAUAUAUUGUGGAAAACCCCAAUGGAUUCAAGGUAUUCAGGAUGCACCCCACUUCCAGGAAAUCAAGCUCUCCAGGUCUCAAAAGCCUGUGUGCUAUUUAGAACCAUGGCACUUGAUUAAUGUGACAAAAUUAUGCUUUUAAUUAGAGUAAACUUUCACUGUUAUUACUGACAAAAUGAAGGUUUAAAAAAUCCAAACUAUCUGUGAUUAUCUAUGAAAACAGUGGGGGGGUUUUGUUGGAAUUUUUUUUUUUUCACCCUUUCACACAUCUCCCCUUGCUUUUAUCAAGAUGUCUUCAGUGUGGUUUCAUAUGUAUAAUGGCUUCACCAUAAAAAGCUUCACUGUAA